GAUGAAGAACGUAGCGAAAUGCGAUAAGUAGUGUGAAUUGCAGAAUUCAGUGAAUCAUCGAAUCUUUGAACGCACAUUGCGCCCCUUGGUAUUCCAUGGGGCAUGCUUGUUCGAGCGUCAUUUGUACCCUCAGGCUUUGCUUGGUGUUGGGUGUUUGUCCUUUCCCUGCGUCAGGACUCGCCUCAAAUUCAUUGGCAGCCGAUGUAUUGGUUUGAAGCGCAGCACAAUUUGCGAUUCAGGCUGGUGACCAUGGGCGUCCAGUAAGCACAUUUAACACUUUUGACCUCGGAUCAAGUAGGGAUACCCGCUGAACUUAAGCAUAUCAAUAAGCGGAGGA
Molecule: unclassified non-coding RNA, 337 nt
Filed under: soil metagenome
Description: partial contains 5.8S ribosomal RNA, internal transcribed spacer 2, and large subunit ribosomal RNA
Rfam family: 5.8S ribosomal RNA (bases 1-120)
Source: RNAcentral